UACGUAGGUGGCAAGCGUUGUCCGGAUUUACUGGGCGUAAAGAGCGCGCAGGCGGUCGUACAAGCCGCGUGUGAAAGCCCCCGGCUCAACUGGGGAGGGUCACGCGAUACUGUUCGACUCGAAGGCAGGAGAGGGAAGUGGAAUUCCCGGUGUAGUGGUGAAAUGCGUAGAUAUCGGGAGGAACACCAGUGGCGAAGGCGACUUCCUGGCCUGUUCUUGACGCUGAGGCGCGAAAGCUAGGGUAGCAAACGGG
RNAcentral lists this ribosomal RNA (253 nucleotides) under uncultured bacterium. RNAcentral describes it as "partial 16S ribosomal RNA". It matches the Rfam family "Bacterial small subunit ribosomal RNA", at positions 524 to 776 of the family's 1533-position model. The record is from RNAcentral.